This 329-nucleotide unclassified non-coding RNA is filed under the name soil metagenome. RNAcentral's name for it is "partial contains 5.8S ribosomal RNA, internal transcribed spacer 2, and large subunit ribosomal RNA". The stretch from base 1 to 120 matches the Rfam family "5.8S ribosomal RNA", at positions 35 to 154 of the family's 154-position model. The record is from RNAcentral.
GAUGAAGAACGUAGCGAAAUGCGAUAAGUAGUGUGAAUUGCAGAAUUCAGUGAAUCAUCGAAUCUUUGAACGCACAUUGCGCCCCUUGGUAUCCCGAGGGGCAUGCCUGUUCGAGCGUCAUUUCACCACUCAAGCCUGGCUUGGUGUUGGGCGACGUCCCCUUUAGGGACGCGCCUCGAAACGCUCGGCGGCGCGGCACCGGCUUUAAGCGUAGCAGAAUCUUUCGCUUUGGAAGUCGGGGCCCCGCCUGCCGGAAUACCUCCUUGUAAGGUUGACCUCGGAUCAGGCAGGGAUACCCGCUGAACUUAAGCAUAUCAAUAAGCGGAGGA